AUUGAACGCUGGCGGCAGGCCUAACACAUGCAAGUCGAACGAGUGGCGGACGGGUGAGUAAUGUCUGGGAAACUGCCUGAUGGAGGGGGAUAACUACUGGAAACGGUAGCUAAUACCGCAUACCAUCAGAUGUGCCCAGAUGGGAUUAGCUUGUUGGUGGGGUAACGGCUCACCAAGGCGACGCUCCCUAGCUGGUCUGAGAGGAUGACCACCCACAUUGGAACGGAGACCCGGGCCGGACUCCUACGGGAGGAAGCGGGGGGGAAUAUUGCACAAUGGGCGAAGGCCUGAUGAAGCCGGGCCGGGUGUAGGAGGGAGGCGGUCGGUUUGUAAAGUACUUUCGGGGGGGAGGCGUUACCCGCAGAAGAAGAACCGGCUACCUCCGUGCCAGCAGCCGCGGUA
RNAcentral lists this ribosomal RNA (402 nucleotides) under uncultured bacterium. RNAcentral describes it as "partial 16S ribosomal RNA". It matches the Rfam family "Bacterial small subunit ribosomal RNA", at positions 29 to 522 of the family's 1533-position model. The record is from RNAcentral.